GAAGUUGGCCGGAUCGUCGCGAGGGUGCUUGCCACCUUCGAGGAAAGUCCGGGCUCCACAGGGCGGGAUGCCAGGUAACGCCUGGGCGGCGCGAGCCGACGGAAAGUGCAACAGAGAACAGACCGCCGAACGGUGUCGCAAGACAUGCGUGGUAAGGGUGAAACGGUGCGGUAAGAGCGCACCGCGGACCUGGCAACAGGGACGGCACGGCAAACCCCAUCCGGAGCAAGACCAAAUAGGAAGGCGUUGGCGCGGCCCGCGUUGCCUUCGGGUAGGUUGCUUGAGCCCUGCGGCGACGCAGGGCCUAGAGGAAUGACGGUCCUCGACAGAACCCGGCUUACAGGCCGACUUCGCCC
This 356-nucleotide RNase P RNA is filed under the name Lysobacteraceae bacterium SCN 69-123. RNAcentral describes it as "Xanthomonadaceae bacterium SCN 69-123 RNase P RNA component class A". It matches the Rfam family "Bacterial RNase P class A". From Rfam's summary of the family: Ribonuclease P (RNase P) is a ubiquitous endoribonuclease, found in archaea, bacteria and eukarya as well as chloroplasts and mitochondria. RNAcentral also lists the same sequence under 1 other name. Lineage: Bacteria; Pseudomonadati; Pseudomonadota; Gammaproteobacteria; Lysobacterales; Lysobacteraceae. The record is from RNAcentral.